Molecule: long non-coding RNA, 263 nt
Organism: Stylophora pistillata
Lineage: Eukaryota; Metazoa; Cnidaria; Anthozoa; Scleractinia; Pocilloporidae
Source: RefSeq, a predicted model, not a curated record
GGACCUAAACCUCCUCAUAUUUAUGCACUUACAACUGAUAUGAAUCACAAUAUGAUGAUAGAGAAAGAAAACCAAUGCGUCAUAAUAAGCGGUGAAAGUGGAGCUGGUAAGACUACAUCUGCACGGCACGUGAUAAAUUGUAUCAAUGAAGUUUCUGGCCGAGGAUCCGAAAGAAUAAAGCAAAUUAAGGAUAUUAUAACUCAGUCUAACGUUGUACUGGAAGCGUUCGGGAAUGCAAAAACAGUCAGGAACAACAACUCAAG